RNAcentral lists this ribosomal RNA (440 nucleotides) under uncultured bacterium. RNAcentral's name for it is "bacterial SSU rRNA". It matches the Rfam family "Bacterial small subunit ribosomal RNA", at positions 338 to 793 of the family's 1533-position model. The record is from RNAcentral.
CCUACGGGAGGCAGCAGUAAGGAAUCUUCCACAAUGGGCGAAAGCCUGAUGGAGCAACGCCGCGUGCAGGAUGAAGGCCCUCGGGUCGUAAACUGCUUUUAUGAGCGAAGAAUUAAGACGGUAACUCAUGAAUAAGGAACGGCUAACUACGUGCCAGCAGCCGCGGUCAUACGUAGGUUCCAAGCGUUAUCCGGAGUGACUGGGCGUAAAGAGUUGCGUAGGCGGCUGGUAAAGCGAGUAGUGAAAUAUGAUGGCUCAACCAUCAAGACAUUAUUCGAACUCACCAGCUCGAGAGUAGUAGAGGUACCUGGAAUUUCUAGUGUAGGGGUGAAAUCCGUAGAUAUUAGAAGGAACACCAAUGGCGUAGGCAGGGUACUAGGCUAUUUCUGACGCUGAGGCACGAAAGCGUGGGGAGCGAACCGGAUUAGAUACCCUGGUAG